Molecule: transfer RNA, 72 nt
Filed under: Capra hircus (goat)
Lineage: Eukaryota; Metazoa; Chordata; Mammalia; Artiodactyla; Bovidae
Also listed under: 1 other name
Rfam family: tRNA
About the family: Transfer RNA (tRNA) molecules are approximately 80 nucleotides in length. Their secondary structure includes four short double-helical elements and three loops (D, anti-codon, and T loops). Further hydrogen bonds mediate the characteristic L-shaped molecular structure. tRNAs have two regions of fundamental functional importance: the anti-codon, which is responsible for specific mRNA codon recognition, and the 3' end, to which the tRNAs corresponding amino acid is attached (by aminoacyl-tRNA synthetases). tRNAs cope with the degeneracy of the genetic code in two manners: having more than one tRNA (with a specific anti-codon) for a particular amino acid; and 'wobble' base-pairing, i.e. permitting non-standard base-pairing at the 3rd anti-codon position.
Source: Rfam by way of RNAcentral
UCCCUGCUGGCUCAGAUGGUAAAGAAUCUGCCUGCAAUGUGGGAGACCUGGGUUCGAUUCCUGGGUUGGGAA